RNAcentral lists this long non-coding RNA (765 nucleotides) under Mytilus galloprovincialis (Mediterranean mussel). The record is from RNAcentral. Lineage: Eukaryota; Metazoa; Mollusca; Bivalvia; Mytilida; Mytilidae.
UGAAGAUGAUAGAAUUGGUUAUAGCAAUAGGUAUGGUGUUGUUUGAAGAUGAUAGAAUUGGUUAUAGCAAAUAGGUGUUGGGUGGGGGGGGGUUUUUUUGAGAUGAUAAAUUGGUUAUAGCAAAGGUAUGGUGUUGUUUGAAGAUGAUAGAAUUGGUUCAUAGGUAUGGUAGGUAUGGUGGUUGUUUGAAAGAUGAUAGAAUUGGUUAUCGAGACAGGUAUGGUGUUGUUUGAAGAUUGAUAGAAUUGGUUAUUAGCAAUAGGUAUGGUGUUGUUUGAGAUGAUAGAAUUUGUAUGCAUAAUAGGUAUGGUGUUGUUUAAAGAUAUAGAAUUGUUAAGCAAUAGUAUGGUGUUGUUUGAGAUGUAGAAUUGGUUAUAGCAAUAGGUAUGGUGUUGUUAAGAUGUAGAUUGUUUAGCAUAGGUAUGGUGUUGUUUGAAGAUGAUAGAUUGGUUAUAGCAAUAGGUAUGGUGUUGUUUGAAGAUGAUAGAAUUGGUUAUAGCAAUAGGUAUGGUGUUGUUUGAAGAUGAUAGAAUUGGUAAUAGCAAUAGGUAUGGUGUUGUUUCUUUGUGAUUGGAAUGAUGUAAAAGUAUACUGGAUGAUAAAAUUGAUAUUCAAGAGGUGGAUUAUGUUGUUACUGAGAGUUUUAAUAAGACCUGGUUGUUUUGUUUCAGCAAGAAUUAAGUAGAGAUUAUGAGUUUACGUAUAGAAUGAUAUAAAUGAAGAUAAAAAUAACAGUUAUUAUGUGUGAUAAAACUUUUAACUCCA